RNAcentral lists this long non-coding RNA (4089 nucleotides) under Nicotiana tabacum (common tobacco). Its description in RNAcentral is "long non-coding RNA (NTAB_LNC001875)". The stretch from base 2597 to 2756 matches the Rfam family "Bacterial large subunit ribosomal RNA", at positions 2473 to 2632 of the family's 2925-position model. Lineage: Eukaryota; Viridiplantae; Streptophyta; Magnoliopsida; Solanales; Solanaceae. The record is from RNAcentral.
GUUAUCCAGGUCCGAGUUUGGUGAAAGAUGGCUGCUAUAAAUGAUAAGGGUCAUUGCUAAAAAAAAUACGAAUAAUUCAGUCAGAGACAAAAGUCCCAAAACUUGUGGAAUCCUUGUAACAGUAGGAGUCCUAUCAAAGAGGAAGCUGACUAUGAAUAGGACUCCUAGAAGAUCUCAAGUCGUGUUUAAAUAGGAUUGACUUUGGACUUCUGAACUAUCCUUUUACACAUCAACUGCAGUGUCAUAUGUUGUUUUUACUUGUGUUAAGUACUUGUUUGGUAUUCUUCCAAGUCAGUUUAAUGUGUUUUAGGAAAUUGAGUUGUAAUCAAACAUCAUAAACAGUUAGUGAGUUGGAGUGAAUAUUUUGCUUUACAAGUUAGAGUAACUUGUGAAUCAAGUAGGAGUAGUAGGAGUACAGGAGAGUAUUGAAUUACAGUCUUGUGGUAGGUCGUGGUUUUUGCACCUUUUGAGCCGGAUGAUUUUUCACGUAAAAAUUAAAUCGAUAUAUUCAUUGUAUUGGUUAUUUAUUUUAACAUGGUAAAGAAUCAAGUUCUUUAGUAAUCCAUACGGGCACUCGAUCUAACAAGUACACGAGUCUAAAUGAAGAUUUAACUCAUUUAAUAAUUUAGCAGAUAUAUAUCUUCUUUAUUUCUUAAAACCAGAAUGCUACAACAACGACAACAGCGAACAAGAGAAUCUGACCCACAGCCUCUCCUCUUUGUCACUCUCUUUUUUAUUUAAUAGUGCUUAGUACUACUUGUGUAGCUUAUAUAUUUGAAACUACAAAUUACAUAGUCAUAAUUUUGCAGGCUUCAAUUUCAAGGGCAGAAGACAACCCUGUAAUUAGUACCAGAAGGACACGUAAACAAACUGGUUGGAUCAUCCUGUGGAUAACUAUAAGCAUCAGGGCAUCUUUCCUUAAAAAAUCUCGACAAAUCAGUAGGCCCACAUGAUCCAGGCCCAUUUGUACAACAAUAUUCAUUGGUUUUUAUCACAGUACAUGGGUUGUUACAUCCACCUUGUGUUUUCAACUGUGCUGGGCAUUGUUCGUUAAUAGGUGCUGUGCAUCUGAGAUUACGACAUCCUCCAUUGGUCGGGCUGAAUUCCAUGGGGAUGUUAAAUCCAUCAACAAGAGAGAUGUCGACAAAGUCCUGAUUGGGUUGAUUAAGUGCAAAUUCAGCUAAAGUGUUAGGUGCUUUUCCAUAGCCUUGACACUCUAACAUCCCGUUACAGUCUCCAGUCUCACAAUUACCUCGGCCACUGCCAUCGAAGUUGCAAUUGGUUCGACCCCAAAUGCGAGCCUGGACUGUUCCUGGGUUCACAUUAAUGCUCCAAGAUUGGCCUGAGUCGAGCCGCCUGCCUCCACCUGGAGAGGCCGCGGCCCAGACUGUGUAGGUGCAUUUGUUGACAAUGUCAAAAGUGGCAGCAUGAGUAACAGCUACAAAGUAUUGGCCAAAAUAAAGGAAGGCAAAAAAGGGGAAGCUUUUGAGGAAGUUCAUUUUUUUUUUCUUUUUGUAAACUUGAGAAUGUGUUUAUUUGGAGACUAUCUAUGGGUUUAAAUAGCUGAUCAAGUAACAAGCUCUGAAAUUUCAGAGAUUAUGAUAUUCUUGUCCUUGUUAUUAAUGUGCCAAUAAAUUCCAUCUCUCAUUUUUCCAUUUCGUGCCAAACACGCUAAUAGAGACUGGCGGAUCCACAAUUUCAAGAGAAUGGAUGCACUUACACUUGACGGAUUUAACUAUAGUCUCUUUCCAUAAACCCAUUAUCAUUUUGAAAUUAUAGAUUCAAUAUAUAUAAUUAUAUAUUUAUACUUCGUGCCUAAAACAAGACCGUUCGGAGUGGGAUUUGAACCGUCAAUUUCACUUAUAGAGGUGCACCCAAUAACUAAUAUUGCAUCAUAAGAGUCUUUGAGCAUGAGUGCACACACAUAUAUCUAAGUAAUUUUAAAAAAAUAUUACGUUAUAUAUGAUUUAGGGAAAGGAGCAUGAGUUCAUGUGAACACAUAUCCCUUGCCCUAAAUACGUCCUUUUUGCGUGCUAAUUUUUGCUCUUACUUCUCCUGGAAAAUCUUGCUUCUUGACCUGCAAGUCAAGCCGACACUAAUUGAAUUUUCUGAGCUUGGGAAUUGAGGUCCUGAAACUAGCUGGACAUAGCUAUAUAGUGAAUGAACAUUGAUACCACUUUGCCUGUGACUUGUAUACAAAUUUAUUGUUUGAAUAUAUAGAUUUGCUUUUUAUAUUUUUCAUGUGGAGAGAUAUUAAUUACUGAAACACAACUUUUAAUUUCUAAUGCUCAUUGUUCCUCCCAUCACAAAAGAGGGUUCAAAUGCAGGAGAGUGAGAAUAUAUAUGUUUCACGUAUGAAUUUGAAUAUUGAUUUUCUUAGAUAUUUUUUUAAAUGAAAUUCAUAAUCAGAAACUAUUCAAAAUUUGGUUACUUAUAAUAAUUUUUAAAUUAUAAUUCAAUUUUCUUUAAAGAAAAAAAAAUGACUUCUCAAACGAUACAACACAUAUAUUGGUCGAACAGAGACUAAAGCUGACCAUAGUGAUUUGGGAGUCCCGUGUGGAAGGGCUCUCGCUCAACAGAUCAAAUGACACACCAGGAUAACAAGCUGAUGACUUCCAAGAGCUCUUAUCUUCAGAGUCGUUUGGCACCUCAAUUUCAACUUAUCACAUCUUGGGGUUGAAGAAGAUCCCAAGGGUUCGAUUGUUUGCUGAUUCAAGUGGUACGUGAGUUGGACUUAGAAUAUCGUGAAACAGUUAUAUCCUAUCUAUCGUUGGUGUCAAAGGUAGAACUGUGAGAAGCCAACCCUAGUAAAAGAGGACUGGAUUGGAGUUGUUAUGCCAACAAUAGCACAGGGCAGCAAUUCUGCGCCGCGGGAAAUAACAAUUAGACAUUUUAAGUAUUAUUUUAAUGGAUCUGUUUAACUGAGGGAAUAGUAUUGCAAGUGAAAGUUACAACAUUAUAAACCAAGCGCAUGGUUCUGCCAUGUACACAAGUAAAUUACUCCAUCACUCAAUUGGUUACAGAACAUCCUUUCAGAGGACAUCCUAUGAAAAAAAAAAUAUUGGUUGCAGAAUAAUACACCUAUUCUUUUCAUUUUCAAUGAAUAUCUGGAUAAUAUUUUGAAAUUUCAGCUUAAGAAAUAGCAGCGAUUAUGAUAUAAACCAAGCAACAUAGAAAUUUCAAACGUCCUAAGAUACAUCAAUUAAGGAAAAAAUGUUCCAUCCAUUUAGAGCCGUUUGGACAUAAGAAAAUUUUUACUUUUUUCCGAAAUCAUUGUUUGGCCAUAAAUUUUUAAAUUUUCACUUAAAAAUGAAUUUUGAAAUUUUUCAAAAAUUUGAAAAAUUCCAAAAAGUUGUUUUUCAAAAUUUUCAAUCAGAUCACUCACAAAACUUUAAAAACAAUCCAAAAUUAUAUUCAUGUCCAAACACAACUCUAGUUUUCAAAUACCAUUUUCCUUUAAAAAAAUUUUCAUUUUUUUCCGGAAUUUUAUAAUUCUUAUGUCCAAACGCCCACUUAAUUUAUGGACAGAAGACUACUCUGUAAUUGGUUCCAGUAGGACAAGUGAACAUACUAGUGGGGUCAUCUUGAGGAUAACUGUAAAAAGUUGAACAUCUAUCCUUAAAGAUCUUGGAAUAACGGUAAGAUGUGCAACAAUAUUCCGUAGUAUUGAAAACAGUACAAGGAUUAUUACAGCCUCCAGGAAUCCUUAGUUCAUUCGGACACUGUCCUAUGAUGUCGGCAGUGCAGCUGAUCCUAACAGAACAAUUACCAGAUGUUGGACUAAAUUCCAUUGGGACAUUGAAACCGUCUACAAGAGAUAUGACCAACAAAUCAAAAUUGUUCGCUUGUUCUAGGAUGUAUUCAGCCAAAGUGAUUGGAGGUUGUAUGGGGUAAAAUAUGUUAUAACACGUGUGUGUAUAUGCCAAAAUCUGCCCUAAGGAUAUUUAGCGUAAUACGACAUCAAGAAAAGGGUCGGUCGAGCUUGAUCAGGAAGAAACAAAAUUCGUGGCAGAUAUGUCAACCAUGACCGAGGUCGAGCAUCGUGUAAAGAAUAGUAACAGCUAGUUUUCAAAAUAGGAUAUUAGAGAG